RNAcentral lists this transfer RNA (67 nucleotides) under Marmota monax (woodchuck). RNAcentral describes it as "tRNA.Ala". The record is from RNAcentral. Lineage: Eukaryota; Metazoa; Chordata; Mammalia; Rodentia; Sciuridae.
GGUUGUGGCUCAGUGGUAAAGCGCUUACCUAGCAUGUUUGAGGCACUGGAUUCAAUCCUCAGCACCA